RNAcentral lists this long non-coding RNA (1318 nucleotides) under Gallus gallus (chicken). RNAcentral's name for it is "lncRNA (ENSGALG00010009940.1)". Lineage: Eukaryota; Metazoa; Chordata; Aves; Galliformes; Phasianidae. The record is from RNAcentral.
GUUUACUCCUACAUGUUGCUCAGUUGCUCACGUUGCUUCCUUUCUAAAAGCAUCAUUGUAUUUUGGAAUCAGACACAGUCGAGGAACACUUACUUUGUUAACAGUGUCUCACAAAUCGUGGCAGCGUAUGGUGGAAGUGUGGUAGGCAAAGGCGUCCUGGAAUUUCUUUCUCCAAUUACUUGCUAUUGCCAAAAAAAAAAAAAAAAAAAGCACAGAAGGAAAAGCAUGAGGGUCAGAGGGUCAACUAUAAGCAUACGUGUGUUAUAGAAUUAAUAUGGGGUUGAGACCAGUCAAUUAAAUACAAAUGGAUAAGUCCGAAGGAGUCUGAAUAUGAAGGGACUUGUAGGAGUGCAGGAUAAGUAGAGAUCAGGGAGAGGAAAGAAAAACUGAUGAACAGACUAGGGCAGAUUAGUCUGCAGGAUGAAUUCUCCCUGCAUACUUUUUCAUCUGGGGUUUUGGGUUAGGACUCACCAUGUGGAAAAGUAAAGAUUUGGAGAGAGAGAAUGCCUGGUGCUGCAGUUGGAGUGAAGCUGCAGAAGGGUGCCAAAGGAAAGCCUGUUUUCAUCCUCUUGUGCAUCCUGACUUCCUGCCAUUGCCUUCUGCACUAGAAGGCAGUUUUUGAAAGUAUCAAACAAAGUUAAGUUACCUGGAGCUAAAAUUAAGUGAGAUAAAGGAAUCCAGAAUGGCAAUAUGAAACAAAAAACAUUCUCAGAUAAGGUUCUUUAUUAUAUUCCUUGACCCAUACAAUAACGUCAGUGACACUUUACUGCAAAGGUAGUCAGUAACAUGUAAAUACAAGCAGAAUCCAUCUCUGUUCUCUUGUGUAUGUAAGAUAUAUAUUGAAUGACAUAUGUGUAGGGACUGAGGAACUUGCAAACCAGUGGAAUAGUCUUGUUCAUGUAAACUUGAGUGUGGACAGCAAUUGCUUAAUAUUCAGCAUCUUUACCAAAAUGUUUUAUCACCGAGCAUCUGUUACACAAGUAUAGUGACUGUGUCACUUAGUGUUAGGAUACAGGUACCCUUAGGAGGACAGUACAAUUGCUUCCUUCUAAGGUGGAUUAGAACCAUAGGGGUAACAGACUCUUGUGCUAUUUUGAAUGUCUUCUGGUAGAUAGCCACAGGAAAUUUUCCUGCUGAAAUGACAAGAAUUCUUUGAUGUAGCUUGUUCUGUUAGAGGAUAUGUUGAAAUGUCUGUAUUAUUUCAAUGAUGAGCUUUUUUUUUCUGGCACCUAUAAAUGUAUGUUCAUGGUAAUAAUAAGCAGUAUCUUGUCAGCAGCUAUCUACCGUAAGUGAUCACUAAUCCACUUUACAAUCAUUU